ACCAAUACACUGUAACAGGUUAUCUCUCUUGUUGUGAUUCAGCAACUCCGAACUCGAGCAAAAAGGAUGAUCGAGGGGAAAUAAGAUCCUCCUUAUCUUGUACAACAAUUAGGCGCAAACCAAUUAGUAGGAGAACCACUAAUAAUCAAGGAAAAACUGAUGGAGCUAAUACAAGCCUGAACCCAAUCCAACCACAUAGCAGGAAAAUUUGUCCUAAAAAGUACCUGCUGAUCACUU
This 237-nucleotide long non-coding RNA is filed under the name Phoenix dactylifera (date palm). RNAcentral describes it as "long non-coding RNA (PDAC_LNC011352)". Lineage: Eukaryota; Viridiplantae; Streptophyta; Magnoliopsida; Arecales; Arecaceae. The record is from RNAcentral.